GACGAACGCUGGCGGCGUGCUUAACACAUGCAAGUCGAACGGAAAGGCCCUGCUUUUGUGGGGUGCUCGAGUGGCGAACGGGUGAGUAACACGUGAGUAACCUGCCCUUGACUUUGGGAUAACUUCAGGAAACUGGGGCUAAUACCGGAUAGGAGCUCCUGCUGCAUGGUGGGGGUUGGAAAGUUUCGGCGGUUGGGGAUGGACUCGCGGCUUAUCAGCUUGUUGGUGGGGUAGUGGCUUACCAAGGCUUUGACGGGUAGCCGGCCUGAGAGGGUGACCGGCCACAUUGGGACUGAGAUACGGCCCAGACUCCUACGGGAGGCAGCAGUGGGGAAUAUUGCACAAUGGGCGGAAGCCUGAUGCAGCAACGCCGCGUGCGGGAUGACGGCCUUCGGGUUGUAAACCGCUUUCGCCUGUGACGAAGCGUGAGUGACGGUAAUGGGUAAAGAAGCACCGGCUAACUACGUGCCAGCAGCCGCGGUGAUACGUAGGGUGCGAGCGUUGUCCGGAUUUAUUGGGCGUAAAGGGCUCGUAGGUGGUUGAUCGCGUCGGAAGUGUAAUCUUGGGGCUUAACCCUGAGCGUGCUUUCGAUACGGGUUGACUUGAGGAAGGUAGGGGAGAAUGGAAUUCCUGGUGGAGCGGUGGAAUGCGCAGAUAUCAGGAGGAACACCAGUGGCGAAGGCGGUUCUCUGGGCCUUUCCUGACGCUGAGGAGCGAAAGCGUGGGGAGCGAACAGGCUUAGAUACCCUGGUAGUCCACGCUGUAAACGGUGGGUACUAGGUGUGGGGUCCAUUCCACGGGUUCCGUGCCGUAGCUAACGCUUUAAGUACCCCGCCUGGGGAGUACGGCCGCAAGGCUAAAACUCAAAGGAAUUGACGGGGCCCCGCACAAGCGGCGGAGCAUGCGGAUUAAUUCGAUGCAACGCGUAGAACCUUACCUGGGUUUGACAUGGAUCGGGAGUGCUCAGAGAUGGGUGUGCCUCUUUUGGGGUCGGUUCACAGGUGGUGCAUGCCUGUCGUCAGCUCGUGUCGUGAGAUGUUGGGUUAAGUCCCGCAACGAGCGCAACCCUUGUUCACUGUUGCCAGCACGUUAUGGUGGGGACUCAGUGGAGACCGCCGGGGUCAACUCGGAGGAAGGUGGGGAUGACGCCAAGUCCUCAUGCCCCUUAUGUCCAGGGCUUCACGCAUGCUACAAUGGCUGGUACAGAGAGUGGCGAGCCUGUGAGGGUGAGCGAAUCUCGGAAAGCCGGUCUCAGUUCGGAUUGGGGUCUGCAACUCGACCUCAUGAAGUCGGAGUCGCUAGUAAUCGCAGAUCAGCAACGCUGCGGUGAAUAAAUUCCCGGG
RNAcentral lists this ribosomal RNA (1343 nucleotides) under uncultured bacterium. Its description in RNAcentral is "16S ribosomal RNA". It matches the Rfam family "Bacterial small subunit ribosomal RNA", at positions 28 to 1378 of the family's 1533-position model. The record is from RNAcentral.